UACGAGGGGGGCGAGCGUUGUUCGGAAUUAUUGGGCGUAAAGGGUGCGUAGGCGGUUUGGUAAGUCCGAUGUGAAAUCUAUGGGCUCAACUCAUAGUCUGCAUCGGAAACUGCCGGGCUUGAGUGUGGGAGAGGUGAGUGGAAUUCCUGAUGUAGCGGUGAAAUGCGUAGAUAUCAGGAGGAACACCUGUGGCGAAAGCGGCUCACUGGACCAUAACUGACGCUGAUGCACGAAAGCUAGGGGAGCAAACAGG
RNAcentral lists this ribosomal RNA (253 nucleotides) under uncultured bacterium. RNAcentral's name for it is "partial 16S ribosomal RNA". It matches the Rfam family "Bacterial small subunit ribosomal RNA", at positions 524 to 776 of the family's 1533-position model. The record is from RNAcentral.